Molecule: ribosomal RNA, 430 nt
Filed under: Pseudomonadota bacterium
Lineage: Bacteria; Pseudomonadati; Pseudomonadota
Description: Proteobacteria bacterium partial 16S ribosomal RNA
Rfam family: Bacterial small subunit ribosomal RNA
Source: RNAcentral
UGGGGAAUAUUGGACAAUGGGGGGAACCCUGAUCCAGCCAUGCCGCGUGUGUGAAGAAGGCCUUAUGGUUGUAAAGCACUUUAAGCGAGGAGGAGGGUACUGGUAUUAAUACUACCAGCUACUGGACGUUACUCGCAGAAUAAGCACCGGCUAACUCUGUGCCAGCAGCCGCGGUAAUACAGAGGGUGCGAGCGUUAAUCGGAUUUACUGGGCGUAAAGCGUGCGUAGGCGGCUAAUUGAGUCGGAUGUGAAAUCCCCGAGCUUAACUUGGGAAUUGCAUUCGAUACUGGUUAGCUAGAGUGUGGGAGAGGAUGGUAGACUUCCAGGUGUAGCGGUGAAAUGCGUAGAGAUCUGGAGGAAUACCGAUGGCGAAGGCAGCCAUCUGGCCUAACACUGACGCUGAGGUACGAAAGCAUGGGGAGCAAACAGG